Molecule: long non-coding RNA, 1629 nt
Organism: Trichomycterus rosablanca
Lineage: Eukaryota; Metazoa; Chordata; Actinopteri; Siluriformes; Trichomycteridae
Exons: 2
Source: RefSeq, a predicted model, not a curated record
UUUCUAGGGGUGGGUUUAUAAAAUUGAUUUUUCGAUUCGAAUCAAUCUUUAUUUGAACGAUCCGAUAUCGAUUCAUAUAAACUCGAGAUCGAUCUUUUAAAUACGCCCCUUUUUUACGGUGCACACGGAAAUCUGUUACCCCCUUUAAUCUCGCGUGACCAGCCAGUGUUUUUUUGCGCAACGAGAUCUGACCUGCACAUCAGUUCAGCAUGGCAGAAGCUCAAGUUAUGCCUGGUUCACACUACAUGAUUCUAGCCCUGAUUUUCGCUCGGUGACGGGUCGGUGCUGGAUUCGGGAGGAACUCGGUGUUCGCUCUGCGAUCAAAACUCGGCUCUCAAUCAAUGUGAGAAACAGCGAGGGGAAACACAGGGGCGAGGUUGUAAACAGGUGGUUCAGGAGCGCAAUAUAGUUUCUAUCAGAAUACAUCAGCACACGCGAGUUUUACAGUAUUUCUGACCUGAUCGUUCUCUACAAAACAAAAUAUUUAUUAACCUCCAACUCACUAUAGAACAAGCCAUGCUGCUCGUGUUGCCAAAUCCACUCAGAUUCAUUUAUUUCAUCGGCGCACAAACUUUCAUCUCUCGCUACUUGUUGAUGUGCAUGUUUGGACGUGGUAUCAUUAAACCUUUCAUCACUUCUCACGUGUGUUUUCGUGACAGAACGUAGUUUUGGAGAGCAGAGAAGCUCACCUGUGAUUCCCCCUGGUGAUAGAUGGUGUAGUGUAAAACCCCCCAUCGCCGAUCAGUCGUGUAGUGUGAACAUUACAGCGACCAGGUGUUAAUCAGAGUGUCGUGUCGUGUAAACUUGGCAUAAGCUGUUCAACAGCCAGGUGUAUGUUUACAUUACAUUUACAAUGUUGUAGCGUGUCAGACAUAUAAAAUAAUAAUAAAAAAUGAAUGUUACUGUUUUCUGUUUUGGAGUAAUUAUUUAUGUAAACAAAAUACACAAAUAUUUUUAUUAAUGAAAAUAUUAUGUUCUUUGUACAAUUAUCACAUUCGUUCUCUGAACAUCUGUACAUAUUUAAACAAAACCUGUUAAUGUAACUCAAAUAUGCCUAAAUGUGUUGAAUCGAAAUCGAAUCGAAUCGAAUCGGGACCUUGUGAAUCGAAUCGAAUCGAUCCAGGAAAUUAGUGGCGAUACCCAGCCCUACUCUUUUCCAGACAUCAUUUAUUUCAUAUAACUGAUUUGGCUGAAACACUUAAAGUAAAUCAUUAAAAUACCUUUAUACAUUUAGUCAUUUUUAGGUAUAUUAAGGUCUUGCUUGAUGAUUUGAAGGUAUUUGUGAUUUUUCUGUGUGUGUGUUAUUUUUUCUUACAUGUUUACACAGGGAAGAGGUUUAGGAGUCAAACAGAGGACGGCGUGGAUGAACCAGAUAACCGUCUCAAUAAUUCUCCAAAUCUCAAGACCUUAUCCACCAUGGCCAAACUGGAAGACUGGGUCUCUGAUCCUGAAAACAGCCAGAAACUGAUUGAUGACCUGGAGAAGAAGCUCAAACAGGGUGAAAUUGAGGCUUUGAAAGAUUCUCUGAAGGAUAAGAAGCUGAAAAAGAGUCUGUGUCUCACUGCUAAAGAGAUUAACGAGAUCAGACGUAAUCUAAAUAAUAAUAAUAAUAAAUAAGCGGUUUUAAAG